CCCGAUAUUUUCUUGGUUUAAUUUCUUUAAAUGUGGAAAAAAAAAAGAAAAAAAAUGGAAAUUAAGUGUAAAUAUAAAUAUAUAUAUUUAUAUAUUAAAUAGUUUUAUUAAAUUAAUUAAAGAAAAGAAAGAAAAGAAAGGACAAAAAGAAGAAAAGGAGAAGAAAAUUUCAUUUUCACUUUUCUUCUUCUUCUUCGCUUCCCUUCACCGCCAAGUUUGAAGACAUCCAAGUUCCCUUUAUUUUUUUUUCUUUUUCCUUCUUCAAUUUGCAGAGAACUUCUAAGAGAGAGUUUGGAAGAAGAAGAGAAAUUUUACUAGAAUUUUUAGGUUGAAGAAGAGGAGGAGAACUCAAGCAAAGUGUAUCAAUGGCUGAAUUUUAGUUCAUUCUGCACAUCACUGGUUUUUAAUUCGGUUUGAACUCUUCAAAAGGAAUUAAGAGGGCAGUUGGUUUUCACUCGAAAUUAGGAGGUCUCUGGUUUUUCUUGUAUUUCAGAGUGUAUCGGUGGAGUUAGAAUUUCUAUUUGGUAUGGUUGGAAAGCUUAUUCAAUUUACUACAACUUUCAUGAAGAAAUUGUAAACCAAAAACGACUAAAAAUUGGUUAAAUUGUAGGAACAAGUUAAAGAGGUCGUGUGCGUGCGAUUCUGGAAGUGGUUCUGUUUUGAGGGUUAUAUGUGUUUAUGCACGGGGAAUCAGAUUUAUAUGUCUUCAGGCCGAGAAGAAUUAAACCGAGCUUAUAGACCAAGGAUCUAGCCCAAGACUGUGAGUGACAAAACCAACUUUGAAAUAUUUUCCAUAACUGUUAUUAUGAUUGAAUGCGAUAAAUGUUUAUUUACGAAGCCAUGAAAGGUAUUUGAAUUUCAUGACUAUUUUCAAGUAUACAUUUGGAGACUAGAUUUCUUAAAGAAAUUUAUGCUAGCACGUAGAUAUUAAAUGUUUGGAAAGUAUUUAAACCACAAUAUUUUAAGCAAAGCAUGAAUUAGUAUGAAGUUUUGUUUUAAGAACUACAAUUUUCCACGAAAGAGCUGAGUAAAGUUCGAGCUUUGUGUAAAAUUUAUAAGCAGGCAUGUUUUAAUAUUUUAUGAUGAUUUAUGAAAUUUUCAUUAACUACAUGACUGAGAUCUUGAGCCUGAGGCUAGAGAUUACCGUGUGCACACUGGUUAGAUUUCGUUGUUGACGUUGAGUGUACUCCGUAACAACGAUGCUGUCGUGAGUGCUGGGCGGGCCCCACUACGACAAAGACGAUGGGAGUGCUGGGCGGGCCCCACUACAUCGUAGUGCUUGUAAACGUUGUUGUACUAGGUGUACCCUACACAACGUAGAUUCGUCAUGUUAGUUAAAAUGCUUCGAUAUACUUGAUAUGCCUUGCUAGAUUUCAAUGAUGAACAUGCUGAGUAUUUAAGGAAACUAUUCUUACUAUUACACAUUUACAUUUACGACUUGUAUAAACAGAUUUAUAUGUGUAAAGUUUUCACGUGCUCUUAUCUUUAAAUUCAUAGUUUUAAACUGAGUCACUCACUGAGCUCCAUAGCUCACCCUUUCCAAAAUGUUU
This is a long non-coding RNA of Cucumis melo (muskmelon), 1550 nucleotides long. RefSeq lists it as uncharacterized. Lineage: Eukaryota; Viridiplantae; Streptophyta; Magnoliopsida; Cucurbitales; Cucurbitaceae. The record is from RefSeq and is a predicted model, not a curated record. The transcript is spliced from 3 exons.